ACAUAAAGUUUCGGGGGGGCGCCCCCCCGGCCUCCGGGCCGGGGGGGGCCGCUCUGUCUGAACCCGUGCCUACCUUACCCGUUGCUUCCGCGGGGCGGGCGCCCGCCGCCCCGCCGCCUGGGGUCCCCCUAGGCGGUGCGCCCCCGCGAGAGGCCCCUGACCCGAACCGUCCCACCGUGCCCCUCUGAGCGGCUGACGCAACGUCA
Molecule: unclassified non-coding RNA, 206 nt
Filed under: uncultured fungus
Lineage: Eukaryota; Fungi
Description: sequence contains ITS1, 5.8S rRNA gene
Source: RNAcentral